GACGAACGCUGGCGGCGUGCUUAACACAUGCAAGUCGAACGGAAAGGCCCUGCUUGCAGGGUCCUCGAGUGGCGAACGGGUGAGUAACACGUGGGUGAUCUGCCCUGCACUUCGGGAUAAGCUUGGGAAACUGGGUCUAAUACCGGAUAGGAGCCAUCUUUAGUGUGGUGGUUGGAAAGUUUUUUCGGUGUAGGAUGAGCUCGCGGCCUAUCAGCUUGUUGGUGGGGUAAUGGCCUACCAAGGCGGCGACGGGUAGCCGGCCUGAGAGGGUGUACGGCCACAUUGGGACUGAGAUACGGCCCAGACUCCUACGGGAGGCAGCGGUGGGGAAUAUUGCACAAUGGGCGCAAGCCUGAUGCAGCGACGCCGCGUGGGGGAUGAAGGCCUUCGGGUUGUAAACUCCUUUCGCUAGGGACGAAGCUUUUUGUGACGGUACCUAGAUAAGAAGCACCGGCUAACUACGUG
This 465-nucleotide ribosomal RNA is filed under the name uncultured bacterium. Its description in RNAcentral is "partial 16S ribosomal RNA". It matches the Rfam family "Bacterial small subunit ribosomal RNA", at positions 28 to 507 of the family's 1533-position model. The record is from RNAcentral.